AACGCACAUUGCGCCCGCCAGCACUCUGGCGGGCAUGCCUGUCCGAGCGUCAUUUCCACCCUCAGGCCCCAGCGGCCUGGAGUUGGGGCUUCUGCGGUGUCUUACCACCGCAGGCCCCCAAGAGCAGCGGCGGACCCGCGGCGGCUUCGAGCGCAGUAAAUACCCUCGCUCGGGAGGCGGCGCGGGCCCUUCCGGCCGGCAAGACGCGAAAGCAACCACCCAAAGGUUGACCUCGGAUCAGGUAGGAAUACCCGCUGAACUUAA
This 264-nucleotide unclassified non-coding RNA is filed under the name uncultured fungus. RNAcentral's name for it is "partial contains 5.8S ribosomal RNA, internal transcribed spacer 2, and large subunit ribosomal RNA". Lineage: Eukaryota; Fungi. The record is from RNAcentral.